RNAcentral lists this small RNA (104 nucleotides) under Mycobacterium sp. RNAcentral describes it as "Guanidine-I sequence". It matches the Rfam family "Guanidine-I riboswitch aptamer". Rfam says of the family: This family represents a conserved RNA structure found upstream of the ykkC and yxkD genes in Bacillus subtilis and related genes in other bacteria. The function of this family is unclear although it has been suggested that it may function to switch on efflux pumps and detoxification systems in response to harmful environmental molecules. Lineage: Bacteria; Bacillati; Actinomycetota; Actinomycetes; Mycobacteriales; Mycobacteriaceae. The record is from RNAcentral.
GUGAGGCGCGUCUAGGGUUCCGCCGCUCGCGGGUCUGGUCCGAGAGAUGCAGGCGGUUCGUCACCAGGCAGACCGUUCCACGGCGGGACAAAAACCCGGGAGGC